GACGAACGCUGGCGGCGUGCUUAACACAUGCAAGUCGAACGGAAAGGCCCUGCGUUUGUGGGUUUCUCGAUUGGCGAACGGGGGAGUAACACGUGAGUAACCUGCCCUUGACUUUGGGGUAACUUCAGGAAACUGGGGCGAUUACCCGAUAUGAUCUCCUGCUGCAUGUGGUGCGUUGGAAAGUGUCGGCGGUUGGGGAUAGACUCGCGGCUUAUGAGCUUGUUUGGGUGGUAGUGGCUUACCACGGCUUUGACGGGUAGCCGGCAUGAGCGGGUGGACGGCCACAAUGGGACUGCGAUACGGCCCAGAAUGCUACGGGAGGCAGCAGGCGGGAGCAUUGCACAAUGGGCGGAAGCCUGAUGCAGAAACGCCGCGUGCGGAAUGCCGGCCUUUGGGUUGUAAACCGCUUUCGACUGUGAUGAAGCGGGAGUGACGGUAAUGGGUAAAGAAGCACCGGCUAACUACGUG
This 468-nucleotide ribosomal RNA is filed under the name uncultured bacterium. RNAcentral describes it as "partial 16S ribosomal RNA". It matches the Rfam family "Bacterial small subunit ribosomal RNA", at positions 28 to 507 of the family's 1533-position model. The record is from RNAcentral.